Molecule: ribosomal RNA, 405 nt
Filed under: uncultured Eubacteriales bacterium
Lineage: Bacteria; Bacillati; Bacillota; Clostridia; Eubacteriales
Description: uncultured Clostridiales bacterium partial 16S ribosomal RNA
Rfam family: Bacterial small subunit ribosomal RNA
Source: RNAcentral
UGGGGAAUAUUGCACAAUGGGCGCAAGCCUGAUGCAGCAACGCCGCGUGAAGGAUGAAGGGUUUCGGCUCGUAAACUUCUUUAGGCAGGGACGAAGAAAAUGACGGUACCUGCAGAAUAAGCCCCGGCUAACUACGUGCCAGCAGCCGCGGUAAUACGUAGGGGGCAAGCGUUAUCCGGAAUGACUGGGUGUAAAGGGUGAGUAGGCGGCUAGGCAAGUCAUAUGUGAAAUCCCAAGGCUUAACCUUGGGACUGCAUAAGAAACUGUCAAGCUAGAGUACAGGAGAGGUAAGCGGAAUUCCUAGUGUAGCGGUGAAAUGCGUAGAUAUUAGGAAGAACACCAGUGGCGAAGGCGGCUUACUGGACUGAAACUGACGCUGAGUCACGAAAGCGUGGGGAGCGAACA